Cynocephalus volans (Philippine flying lemur) is the source of this 326-nucleotide long non-coding RNA. RefSeq lists it as uncharacterized. NCBI's taxonomy places the organism in Eukaryota, Metazoa, Chordata, Mammalia, Dermoptera, Cynocephalidae. The transcript is spliced from 2 exons. The record is from RefSeq and is a predicted model, not a curated record.
GAUCACGCUCUCGCGCACGGGACCACAAUGCUCCGCGCCGCUUGUCAUUGGGAGGCGCCGAUGGCGGGGGUCGGCUCGGAAGGAAAAGAACCUUGUACUUCUAAUGGCAUCUGAGAAGAGUAUCUGCUAUUACCAAAUAGUAUCCUUGGAAGAAGAGGAAAGUCGAAUGUAGACCCAUACAGAAGUAAGACCAUGUGAAGACACAGGGAGAAGACACCAGUCUAUGAGCUAAGGAGAGAGGCCUGAGAAGAAACCAAUCCUGCUGUCAGUUCGAUCUUAGACUUCUAGCUUCCAGGACUGUGAGAAAAUAAAUUUCUGUUGUUUAA